RNAcentral lists this long non-coding RNA (214 nucleotides) under Capsicum annuum. RNAcentral's name for it is "long non-coding RNA (CANN_LNC001089)". Lineage: Eukaryota; Viridiplantae; Streptophyta; Magnoliopsida; Solanales; Solanaceae. The record is from RNAcentral.
UUUUCCAAAUCUUACAUGUUUAUUGCACUAAUGAAUGUCAGAAGGUAUCCGGUUACUCAAACAAGAUCCAUGUGCUAUUAAUGACUCCAAAAUAUUUCAUUGAUAUACCAAUAAGUUCCUACUUUAUUGUUAUGGCAUUGAUGACUCCAAAACACUUCAUUGAUGUGCCAAUGAGUUCUUACUUCAUUGUUAUUGCAUUGAUGGUCUAUUUAUA